CCUACGGGAGACAGCAGUGAGGAAUAUUGGUCAAUGGCCGGAAGGCUGAACCAGCCAUGCCGCGUGAAGGUCAGUGCCCUAUGGGCGUUAAACUUCUUUUGUGCGGGAGCAAUACUGGUCACGUGUGGCCAGACGAGAGUACCGUACGAAUAAGCAUCGGCUAACUCCGUGCCAGCAGCCGCGGUAAUACGGGGGAUGCAAGCGUUAUCCGGAUUUAUUGGGUUUAAAGGGUGCGUAGGCUGUGAGGUAAGUCAGCGGUGAAAUGCCCCCGCUCAACGGGGUGAAGUGCCAUUGAUACUGCCUGGCUGGAAUGCGGAUGCCGUGGGAGGAAUGUGUGGUGUAGCGGUGAAAUGCAUAGAUAUCACACAGAACACCGAUUGCGAAGGCAUCUCACGAAGCCGCGAUUGACGCUGAUGCACGAAAGCGUGGGUAUCAAACAGGAUUAGAUACCCCAGUAGUC
This 460-nucleotide ribosomal RNA is filed under the name uncultured bacterium. RNAcentral's name for it is "partial 16S ribosomal RNA". It matches the Rfam family "Bacterial small subunit ribosomal RNA", at positions 338 to 795 of the family's 1533-position model. The record is from RNAcentral.